RNAcentral lists this ribosomal RNA (489 nucleotides) under Yarrowia lipolytica. Its description in RNAcentral is "eukaryotic LSU rRNA". It matches the Rfam family "Eukaryotic large subunit ribosomal RNA", at positions 86 to 657 of the family's 3401-position model. Lineage: Eukaryota; Fungi; Ascomycota; Dipodascomycetes; Dipodascales. The record is from RNAcentral.
UCGGCGAGUGAAGCGGCAAAAGCUCAAAUUUGAAACCCUCGGGAUUGUAAUUUGAAGAUUUGGCAUUGGAGAAAGCUAACCCAAGUUGCUUGGAAUAGUACGUCAUAGAGGGUGACAACCCCGUCUGGCUAACCGUUCUCCAUGUAUUGCCUUAUCAAAGAGUCGAGUUGUUUGGGAAUGCAGCUCAAAGUGGGUGGUAAACUCCAUCUAAAGCUAAAUACUGGUGAGAGACCGAUAGCGAACAAGUACUGUGAAGGAAAGGUGAAAAGAACUUUGAAAAGAGAGUGAAAUAGUAUGUGAAAUUGUUGAUAGGGAAGGAAAUGAGUGGAGAGUGGCCGAGGUUUCAGCCGCCCCUCGUGGGCGGUGUACUGCCGACGCCGAGUCAUCGAUAGCGAGACGAGGGUUACAAAUGGGAGCGCCUUCGGGCGUUCUCCCCUAACCCUCCACACUGCCACCGACGACAUAAUCCACCCAUUUCACCCGUCUUGA